GCAGACGGGGAUGACGGGCCAGGACUCCAGCACUCCCACCGCGGCGCUCCGCAGGCCCAGGUCCUCCUCCUCUGGAGCAGGGACCUGCCCAGCCCCCAUCCCCUCCUAGAGCGAAGCCUGCAGACCUCGCAGAGGCGCUGCGGCCCAGAACCCAGGAGCCUCCCAGGCCUCCGUUGCUGGCUCUUACCUUGGGGGAGCAGGGAUGGGGUUAGAUGCUGGCCCCCUUACCUUGGGGGAGCAGGGAUGGGGUUAGAUGCUGGCCCUUACCUUGGGGGAGCAGGGGUGGGGUUAGAUGCUGGCCCUUACCUUGGGGGAGCAGGGAUGGGGUUAGAUACCUGGCUUAUGGGACUGACUUCCUUCUUGUGACCUGCACCUGUGCUCCCCAGCACGCCCUUCCCUCCACCUCAGAAGGCUCUGAUGGGGUCCCAGGAUGGUAAUGGAUCACCAUUGAUCACUUGCUGGCCAGAUACCAGGCACUGCUCGAAGUGUUUUACGGGGAUUAUGUUGUUUAACUUUCACAAUAUCUCUGUGUCCCGAGGGGAAGCGGAGGCACAUGGGACACACAAGAGUUGGUUGGUGAGAUAUUGGUGGAUCCAGCGUCCUGGGGACGGCCAGAGAUGAGAGGCGGCUUUCCCCCUGGAGUCUGCAUAAGCAGCUGCCUUCGCCCAGCCACCCAGGCCUGGGGCCUGCAGGAGGACAGAGCCCAGACAGGCCUCACCUUGCAGGCAUGUGUGGUCUUGAGCUCUGCCAGUGUGCUUGCAGGUGGGCCCCUGUGGACAGUGGAGCAGGGGACCUGGUCCUCUGGGGCUGGGGCCUCUCUGGUUAUGACAAGGACCUGGAGACCUGGUGGGACUCUGGAGGCCUUUGGGGGGUCUUCCCUCACCCCCGUCUGUCAGACCUUUCUCUGCAGGGCCUGACCUGUCUCCAGGUGGGCCUGGACUACCCCUGACACUUUGCUUCUCCAGACAUGGGCAGCAGGGUUGGGUGGAUUGCCUGAGUGUUGGAUAAUUUUCACAAUACUUGACUGGAAACCAAGGUGGCCCUCCCCUCCUUGAGGAGGGAUCUGCCCCCAGUUUUCUCGAGAAUAAGCCCACAAAGAAAUGCAGCCCUUCGGUGUUUGCUCUACAUAACGAUGCUAUUGGAUGUCAGUGACACAAAACAGAAGUGCUCCCAGUAGCACUGGCCCAGUGCCCCAAAUGAGAGCAUCUAGCAGAGGCUCCGCACACUGAACACAGCACAGCUUGUCCAGCAAGACCCAACACCACACGUGUCAUGGCACAGCAUGCCCGCUAUCAAAGUGCCCACCAGGGCCUGACAGACAAGCCCGUCUUCUUGACGCAAUUCAGGUCCAUGACAUGUGAUGUGGUGGAAUGAUUAGGAGCAAAACAGUUGUAAACAAAAGCCUGAUCUGUCCAUCAAAACUCAUCCGAUCGUUUUAUGGAAAUAGCUGAUACCAAUCAAGAUGACUUCAGGAAAAUGAAAAGUUUUGGAAACAAAUUAUCUGCAUGCUAUGGAAAAUUGUCAAAAAUUAA
RNAcentral lists this long non-coding RNA (1532 nucleotides) under Homo sapiens (human). Its description in RNAcentral is "HSALNT0355510". The record is from RNAcentral. Lineage: Eukaryota; Metazoa; Chordata; Mammalia; Primates; Hominidae.